Molecule: RNA transcript, 2283 nt
Organism: Sorex araneus (European shrew)
Lineage: Eukaryota; Metazoa; Chordata; Mammalia; Eulipotyphla; Soricidae
Gene name: protein MAL2-like
Exons: 6
Source: RefSeq, a predicted model, not a curated record
CGCGCGGUGAGCGGGCGAGCAGGCGAGUCGACGCGGAGCGAGGGUAGAGGAAUUCACCAGCCAUGGACGAGGUCCUGAAAGGACUCUCCAAGGCCAAGCAGGAGGUCGUGGCCUUUACCGAGAACGUGCUCAAUGCUGAAUAAGGAAAAGCCAAAGAGGGCCAGAGGAAUAUUACAGCAAGCAGUGGGCUUACCCGUACAUGGCUGACCCAGGAGGUGAAUCCCUGAUGAGCAUGCAGGCAGGCUUAAGUUAAAGGAAAUGAGAAAAAGAAAUUUGUUCAAGUUGGAUAAGCAAUCUACAGCUUAGUGAGAAUCUCGAUAUCCUUUGAAAAUUCCUCACCUUCAGGUUUUUCUCCAUUGAAAGAGUAAAAAAUGCAUUGAAACCGCACAAAUAAUGCUAAUUAAUAUUUAAUGAGUGAUUGAGCAAAUGCCAGCUGUGAACCUACCGUGACCAAGACCAAGGAAAUCUCUGAUGGUUUCCACAGCUUGAGUCUUCCGGGAAUCAUUUUUCAAACAGGUCUCUGGGCUGUUCCGUGUCACAGGAGGAAGCUGAGUGUACCCAAGGUCCUUCCACAGAACUCAGCCUUCAGUGCUGGGAAUGGUGGAGCCAUUGCUGCGUCCUGAAGUGAUGCUCGUAACUCUUCACCGGGUCUUGAAAGAAGCCAUCUUCGGCCAAGUUCCUUCCUGCUGAACCCUGGAAGCACUCCCCCCACCCCCCACCUGCCCACAGUGCUGCCAUUAUGCCUCUCCACCAGACUCUACAGCCUCCUGCUGAGUUUUGCAGAGAUGCCGAACUGCUGACAAUUUCAGGUACACAGGGAUAUUUCCGCUGAGAAUGCCCGCCCUUCUCAGAGGGGCAGUGGGCGACCUCCUCCAAUCUCCCCUCCCUGCCACAAGCCUUGGCAGCCACACCCACUCCCUACCACCGCCUAAGCUAAACGCCCAGUUAAAUAUUCUGGGUUUUCCAGACAGCAAGGCCACAUGAGUGACUGCCUGACAUCUCCAAACCAACGACACCACUAACACCCCAGCAGGAGAGCAACAGAUUGGAUGGGAAUGUGACAUAGACGCCAACUCAACCCAACUAACAAAAACAGUAACACAGAAGGCUCGGCUAGCAACAGCAGCUUUGGAACAGGCAGUUGCAGACAAGACUUAUUGUACCCAUGAUGAGACAGAACAAAUUCCACAGUUUCUUUUUACUGAAGUCUUUUUUUUUUGAUCAUUCCAUUAGGCACUUAGUUGUAAAAAACAAUAAACAUUAAAUUAUUAUAGGUCUGCUGGGGGGCAGAUUUGAGGGGUGUUUGAAAGAACAGAGAGAGUGGAGGAGGAAGAUGACAGUGGUGAUGGAAUUUGUGUUGGGAUGUUGAAUGCCCAUAACAAACACAGCAUGAACAACUUUGUAAACUAUAAAUAAAGCUGGGGCGAGCAAGAAAUAAUCUUCACCUUGGCUACAUUUAAAUGAUUUACCUGAUGUUUCCUGUUACCUGUAUCAUGUAGUACAGGCACAGUAGUCUGUCUCAGAAAGAGCAAUUUGCGAUUAUUCACAAAUAAUUAAUAUAUUCUUUUUUAAAUUCACUUUUUUUUUUCGGUCACACCCAUGAUGCACAGGGGUUACUCCUGCCUCUGUACUCAUGAAUUAUACCUGGCGGUGCUCAGGGGACCCUAUAGGACACAAGGAACUGAACCUGGGUUGGUCUCGUGCAAGGCAAACGCCCUACCCGCUGUGCUAUCGCUCCAGUCCCAACACAUUACUUUUUAUACUUGAUGUUAUACAUGUAAAUAUGUUACAAAACCACUAAGUAUUUUUUUCUUGCAAAGCCAACAAAUUUUACCCAGCACCUAUAAGUACGUAUAAGUAUAUAGUAACAGAUGGCGAUAGGGAUAAAAGUAAACUUGAACUCGGAAAGAGUGUGCUAUACCAUGAAGUAUGGCCAUGGGGAGUUACAGUUUCUGUUUUUGCAACUUGCAUUUCCUUGACUGUUUCUGAAACCCUUGACUUUACUUACAUACUCCCAAGUUAUUCAAUAGAACUUGCCAAAUGCUAUGUGUUCUCCAAUUUAGCUUCUAAAUUUGUUUGUUGACUAUUUCGCUUUCCUUGCUCAUCGUGCAAUGUGUUCUUUAGAUUUCUCUUUCUAAUUCUGAAACUAUGUUCUUUAUCUUCUGUUUCUCUCUAGUGUUUAUGUUUUUAUGAUGCUUCAUCACUUACCAUUUUUAAAAGGGUUUCUCCUGCUCUUACUCCCUUUUAUCCUCCUUCCACUCCUUAUUUAUUUUUUUAUUCUUG